RNAcentral lists this ribosomal RNA (232 nucleotides) under uncultured bacterium. RNAcentral's name for it is "partial 16S ribosomal RNA". It matches the Rfam family "Bacterial small subunit ribosomal RNA", at positions 118 to 347 of the family's 1533-position model. The record is from RNAcentral.
UGAGCAAUCUGCCCUUCUCUUCGGAAUAAGCGUUGGAAACGACGUCUAAUGCCGAAUACGACCUCCUUUCGCAUGAUCGGAGGUGGAAAGCUCCGGCGGAGAAGGAUGAGCUCGCGGCCUAUCAGCUAGUUGGUGUGGGUAAUGGCCCACCAAGGCGACGACGGGUAGCCGGCCUGAGAGGGUGACCGGCCACACUGGGACUGAGACACGGUCCAGACUCCUACGGGAGNAG